GGAUGUAAGGGUGAGCUGGCUGGAAUAUCUGUUACCCCAUUGAUCACCAGGGUCGAUUCAGCUGAUCUGGCUGGCUAGUGGCUGUCCCCUUCUUCCCUCAAUGCUCCAUGUGUGUCUUCCUGACACUGCAUGCUUGGUUGAAGAGAAGAACCACCUUGCUAGAAGAGGACCAUUUUCUUGGUCAAUGGUAUAGGAAUAACAUGCUUCCCAAACAAGUUCUCAAAGUAUGAACAGCAGAAUCAACCAAUCUAAGGACAAAAUAUCAGAUCUAGAAGACAUGUUUGCAGUUACUGGUCAUCACAUGAUAGACUUCCUAAAAAUAGCAAGGGCUAUGAAAAAAAUCA
This 344-nucleotide small nuclear RNA is filed under the name Octodon degus (degu). RNAcentral's name for it is "7SK RNA (ENSODEG00000022949.1)". It matches the Rfam family "7SK RNA". Rfam says of the family: 7SK was discovered as an abundant small nuclear RNA in the mid-70s but a possible function has only recently been suggested. The record is from RNAcentral. Lineage: Eukaryota; Metazoa; Chordata; Mammalia; Rodentia; Octodontidae.